GGGGGCGUCACGGCUUCGACGGAAGUGCUUGCGGCUGAGAGGCAUGCCGGGGUGCACACACCCGUAAUCGCGUGCAAAACAACAAUUGCCAAUCAAAACCUGGCAUACGCUGCUUAAUUAAUUAAGUAGCCGUCCUAGGCGGAAGGGCCCGCGGGCCGCCCAAGGACGUCAUUUAGCGGGCUGGUCUCCGGCGCGCGGUCCGAGUGCCGGAGGCGAGAUCAUCGGACUAGCGGUUUGCGUUUCUUGUCCGCUCUGAGCGCCGGCUGCGAACGUUCCCGUAGAAGUACGGGAGCAUGAACGCGACUAAGCAUGUAGUCUCUUCGCCAGUAACAUUUUCGGACGCGGGUUCAACUCCCGCCGCCUCCACCA
RNAcentral lists this transfer-messenger RNA (369 nucleotides) under Terriglobales. Its description in RNAcentral is "Gp1-AA112 sp003225175 Standard tmRNA". It matches the Rfam family "transfer-messenger RNA". Rfam says of the family: Bacterial tmRNA, also known as 10Sa RNA or SsrA, is named for its dual tRNA and mRNA-like properties. Its role is to liberate the mRNA from a stalled ribosome. To accomplish this part of the tmRNA is used as a reading frame that ends in a translation stop signal. The record is from RNAcentral. RNAcentral also lists the same sequence under 2 other names. Lineage: Bacteria; Pseudomonadati; Acidobacteriota; Terriglobia.